GCGGGGGUUUCCCAGCCAGGUCAAAGGAGCUAGGUUGAGGUCCUAGUCGUGUAGGCGUUCGUGAGUUCAAAUCUCACCCCCCGCACCA
This 88-nucleotide transfer RNA is filed under the name Candidatus Heimdallarchaeota archaeon B3_Heim. RNAcentral's name for it is "Candidatus Heimdallarchaeota archaeon B3-JM-08 tRNA-Leu". It matches the Rfam family "tRNA". Rfam says of the family: Transfer RNA (tRNA) molecules are approximately 80 nucleotides in length. Their secondary structure includes four short double-helical elements and three loops (D, anti-codon, and T loops). Lineage: Archaea; Promethearchaeati; Candidatus Heimdallarchaeota. The record is from RNAcentral. RNAcentral also lists the same sequence under 1 other name.